UACGAGUGCCCCAAGCGUUAUCCGGAAUCAUUGGGCGUAAAGGGUGCGUAGGUGGGUUGGUAAGUCAGUGGUGAAAUCUCCGAGCUUAACUUGGAAACUGCCAUUGAUACUAUCAGUCUUGAAUACCGUGGAGGUCAGCGGAAUAUGUCAUGUAGCGGUGAAAUGCUUAGAUAUGACAUAGAACACCAAUUGCGAAGGCAGCUGACUACGCGAAUAUUGACACUGAUGCACGAAAGCGUGGGGAUCAAACAGG
RNAcentral lists this ribosomal RNA (253 nucleotides) under uncultured bacterium. RNAcentral describes it as "partial 16S ribosomal RNA". It matches the Rfam family "Bacterial small subunit ribosomal RNA", at positions 524 to 776 of the family's 1533-position model. The record is from RNAcentral.